AUUGAACGCUGGCGGCAGGCCUAACACAUGCAAGUCGAGCGGAUGAAGGGAGCUUGCUCCUGGAUUCAGCGGCGGACGGGUGAGUAAUGCCUAGGAAUCUGCCUGGUAGUGGGGGAUAACGUCCGGAAACGGGCGCUAAUACCGCAUACGUCCUGAGGGAGAAAGUGGGGGAUCUUCGGACCUCACGCUAUCAGAUGAGCCUAGGUCGGAUUAGCUAGUUGGUGGGGUAAAGGCCUACCAAGGCGACGAUCCGUAACUGGUCUGAGAGGAUGAUCAGUCACAUUGGAACUGAGACACGGUCCAGACUCCUAGGGGGGGCAGCGGGGGGGAAUAUUGGACAAUGGGCGAAAGCGUAAUCCGGCCAUGCGGGGUGUGUGAAGAAGGUCUUCGGAUUGUAAAGCACUUAAAUUUGGGAGGAAGGAAAAUAAGUUAAUACCUUGGUUUUUUGACGUUACCAAAAAAAAAAGCCCCGGCUAACUUCGUC
RNAcentral lists this ribosomal RNA (484 nucleotides) under uncultured bacterium. Its description in RNAcentral is "partial 16S ribosomal RNA". It matches the Rfam family "Bacterial small subunit ribosomal RNA", at positions 30 to 507 of the family's 1533-position model. The record is from RNAcentral.